GAUGUUAGCGGCGGACGGGUGAGUAACACGUGGGUAACCUGCCUGUAAGACUGGGAUAACUCCGGGAAACCGGGGCUAAUACCGGAUGGUUGUCUGAACCGCAUGGUUCAGACAUAAAAGGUGGCUUCGGCUACCACUUACAGAUGGACCCGCGGCGCAUUAGCUAGUUGGUGAGGUAACGGCUCACCAAGGCGACGAUGCGUAGCCGACCUGAGAGGGUGAUCGGCCACACUGGGACUGAGACACGGCCCAGACUCCUACGGGAGGCAGCAGUAGGGAAUCUUCCGCAAUGGACGAAAGUCUGACGGAGCAACGCCGCGUGAGUGAUGAAGGUUUUCGGAUCGUAAAGCUCUGUUGUUAGGGAAGAACAAGUGCCGUUCAAAUAGGGCGGCACCUUGACGGUACCUAACCAGAAAGCCACGGCUAACUACGUGCCAGCAGCCGCGGUAAUACGUAGGUGGCAAGCGUUGUCCGGAAUUAUUGGGCGUAAAGGGCUCGCAGGCGGUUUCUUAAGUCUGAUGUGAAAGCCCCCGGCUCAACCGGGGAGGGUCAUUGGAAACUGGGGAACUUGAGUGCAGAAGAGGAGAGUGGAAUUCCACGUGUAGCGGUGAAAUGCGUAGAGAUGUGGAGGAACACCAGUGGCGAAGGCGACUCUCUGGUCUGUAACUGACGCUGAGGAGCGAAAGCGUGGGGAGCGAACAGGAUUAGAUACCCUGGUAGUCCACGCCGUAAACGAUGAGUGCUAAGUGUUAGGGGGUUUCCGCCCCUUAGUGCUGCAGCUAACGCAUUAAGCACUCCGCCUGGGGAGUACGGUCGCAAGACUGAAACUCAAAGGAAUUGACGGGGGCCCGCACAAGCGGUGGAGCAUGUGGUUUAAUUCGAAGCAACGCGAAGAACCUUACCAGGUCUUGACAUCCUCUGACAAUCCUAGAGAUAGGACGUCCCCUUCGGGGGCAGAGUGACAGGUGGUGCAUGGUUGUCGUCAGCUCGUGUCGUGAGAUGUUGGGUUAAGUCCCGCAACGAGCGCAACCCUUGAUCUUAGUUGCCAGCAUUCAGUUGGGCACUCUAAGGUGACUGCCGGUGACAAACCGGAGGAAGGUGGGGAUGACGUCAAAUCAUCAUGCCCCUUAUGACCUGGGCUACACACGUGCUACAAUGGACAGAACAAAGGGCAGCGAAACCGCGAGGUUAAGCCAAUCCCACAAAUCUGUUCUCAGUUCGGAUCGCAGUCUGCAACUCGACUGCGUGAAGC
This 1252-nucleotide ribosomal RNA is filed under the name Bacillus amyloliquefaciens. RNAcentral describes it as "bacterial SSU rRNA". It matches the Rfam family "Bacterial small subunit ribosomal RNA", at positions 88 to 1326 of the family's 1533-position model. The record is from RNAcentral. Lineage: Bacteria; Bacillati; Bacillota; Bacilli; Caryophanales; Bacillaceae.